CCUACGGGUGGCAGCAGUGAGGAAUAUUGGUCAAUGGGCGAGAGCCUGAACCAGCCAAGUCGCGUGAGGGAAGACGGUCCUAUGGAUUGUAAACCUCUUGUGUCGGGGAGCAAAAAGGCCUCGUGAGGCCACAAGUGAGAGUACCCGAAGAAAAAGCAGCGGCUAACUCCGUGCCAGCAGCCGCGGUCAUACGGAGGAUGCGAGCGUUAUACGGAUUUAGUGGGUUUAAAGGGUGAGUAGGCGUACUGGAAAGUCAGCGGUAAAAUCGAGAGGCUCAACCUCUUUCCGCCGUUGAAACUGUCGGUCAUGAGGGGGCUAGAAGUAUGCGGAAUGCGUGGUGUAGCGGUGAAAUGCAUAGAUAUCACGCAGAACUCUGAUUGCGAAGGCAGCAUACCGGCGCCCGACUGACGCUGAGGCACGAAAGCGUGGGUAUCGAACAGGAUUAGAUACCCGAGUAGUC
This 460-nucleotide ribosomal RNA is filed under the name uncultured bacterium. Its description in RNAcentral is "partial 16S ribosomal RNA". It matches the Rfam family "Bacterial small subunit ribosomal RNA", at positions 338 to 795 of the family's 1533-position model. The record is from RNAcentral.